CAUUACCGAGUUUACAACUCCCAAACCCCUGUGAACAUACCUUAAUGUUGCCUCGGCGGAUCAGCCCGCGCCCCGUAAAACGGGACGGCCCGCCAGAGGACCCAAACUCUAAUGUUUCUUAUUGUAACUUCUGAGUAAAACAAACAAAUAAAUCAAAACUUUCAACAACGGAUCUCUUGGUUCUGGCAUCGAUGAAGAACGCAGCAAAAUGCGAUAAGUAAUGUGAAUUGCAGAAUUCAGUGAAUCAUCGAAUCUUUGAACGCACAUUGCGCCCGCUGGUAUUCCGGCGGGCAUGCCUGUUCGAGCGUCAUUUCAACCCUCAAGCCCCCGGGUUUGGUGUUGGGGAUCGGCUCUGCCUUACGGCGGUGCCGCCCCCGAAAUACAUUGGCGGUCUCGCUGCAGCCUCCAUUGCGUAGUAGCUAACACCUCGCAACUGGAACGCGGCGCGGCCAUGCCGUAAAACCCCAACUUCUGAAUGUUGACCUCGGAUCAGGUAGGAAUACCCGCUGAACUUAAGCAUAUCAA
RNAcentral lists this ribosomal RNA (525 nucleotides) under Fusarium avenaceum. RNAcentral's name for it is "eukaryotic LSU rRNA". The stretch from base 157 to 310 matches the Rfam family "5.8S ribosomal RNA". The record is from RNAcentral. Lineage: Eukaryota; Fungi; Ascomycota; Sordariomycetes; Hypocreales; Nectriaceae.